This 196-nucleotide non-coding RNA is filed under the name Desulfurivibrio alkaliphilus. Lineage: Bacteria; Pseudomonadati; Thermodesulfobacteriota; Desulfobulbia; Desulfobulbales; Desulfobulbaceae. RNAcentral also lists the same sequence under 1 other name. The record is from RNAcentral.
CUUGAAAAUAAUUAUCCAGGUGCUCGUUUGAGCUUGAUAGGGAAUCCCGUGAAAAUCGGGAACGGGCCCGCCGCUGUGACCGGGGACGAAAACCGCAUGGUGUCACUGUCCUGAUUUUGCUUUACCCAGGGACGGGAAGACGCGGUGAGUAGAAAGAGCCGGAAGUCAGAAGACCUGCCUGGAUAAUCAGGUUACA